UGGUGGAGUGAUUUGUCUGGUUAAUUCCGUUAACGAACGAGACCUCAGCCUGCUAAAUAGAUGGGCAAACACUUGUGUGUUUGUACUAUCCAGACUUCUUAGAGGGACUGUCUGUAUCUAACAGAAGGAAGCAUGAGGCAAUAACA
RNAcentral lists this ribosomal RNA (146 nucleotides) under uncultured eukaryote. RNAcentral's name for it is "partial 18S ribosomal RNA". It matches the Rfam family "Eukaryotic small subunit ribosomal RNA", at positions 1299 to 1458 of the family's 1831-position model. The record is from RNAcentral.